AAACAAAAGGUUAAAUAGACUUGUUGAUAUGUAAAACUCUCCAUUACCUUCUCUAUUAGAAAUGGUAGAUCGCAUAAUGGCUAUGCUAAUUAUUCUCAUGCCUGAGAAUGGGUGUAACAAAAGGUUAAAAAGACGUUGUUGAUAUGUAAAAGUCUCAAAUUCCUUCUCUAUUAGUAACGUUAGAUUGUGCUGUGGUUAUGCUAAUAACAAGUUUUGUUUCAUAGUAAGUAAAUUGCAGCCAGCUGCCUUUGGGACUCUAGGCCGUUCCCCACCCCCAUG
Long non-coding RNA from Erinaceus europaeus (western European hedgehog), 279 nucleotides. RefSeq lists it as uncharacterized. Lineage: Eukaryota; Metazoa; Chordata; Mammalia; Eulipotyphla; Erinaceidae. The record is from RefSeq and is a predicted model, not a curated record. The transcript has 2 exons.